AAUAACAAACAUCAUUUGGAAACAUGUUUACAAAUUAGUUACAGAUUUUUAAAAACUACGUACGAUCUAGCAGAUUGACGAUUUUAUUAUCUCCCUUUGCUAACUCUUUAGUGUUAAAGAUACGAUUGUUUGGGGAAACAUGACAACAUGUCAUACGAGUUGGCGGUUUGAAGACAGACGGUGCCGUUUUGUAACAUUCUUUAUGGACAAAUACUCCAUGUGAAGAAGUUUCAAAGACAAUUUAUGUGAAUGACUAUAAGAAAUCGGUAGCUCGAUAUUUAUGCUCCUUAAACAAAUCACAUUGUGGGAAAUCCAUGACACAAGGCCCGCCUGCGCCUGUGUCUAUUUUCACAAUCACACGUUGGGAUUUUUCGGUUGUUUUAUAUCAUCAGAGUUCUUUAGAGUGGAUGAGGAAUACUACAUGUGUUUUCCCAGAUCACUCGGUCAAUUGUAUUGGAUAUACGAACCGGAUAUGGGCACAUAUCAUUAACAUUUGGGAUGAGCAACAUGCUUGUGGAAAAAUGCUAUGGCCAGUAUGGGUGGCGGUGCAGUAUACAAGGAAUCUAUUCACUGAAAUUCCAAGAAGAUUCCAUGACUUGCUUGCCAUACAACAAACAACAGAAUAUGGACGUGAUUCCUAGAAUUAGAACUUGAAUGGGUCAGACUUGAAUACAUGCAAAGUCAUGUAGCAAUAUUAAAGGUGUUGUACUUCAGGAAAAGGGGAAGCGUAUUUGUUGGAAGAUGGAUAAAGGAAAAUUGGAGCAUGCACUAGACUUCUUU
This is a long non-coding RNA of Ostrea edulis (European flat oyster), 780 nucleotides long. RefSeq lists it as uncharacterized. NCBI's taxonomy places the organism in Eukaryota, Metazoa, Mollusca, Bivalvia, Ostreida, Ostreidae. The transcript is spliced from 3 exons. The record is from RefSeq and is a predicted model, not a curated record.